AUUCCGUGAUGAGGGCAUUUCUGUAAUAAUUCUUUGUAUUGUUCCCAUGCCUCAUACAAGGACUUAUCAUCCAUUUGUUAGAAGGAAGUGAUCUUGUUCCUCAACUU
This 107-nucleotide small nucleolar RNA is filed under the name Gossypium barbadense (sea-island cotton). RNAcentral's name for it is "Plant small nucleolar RNA R71". It matches the Rfam family "Plant small nucleolar RNA R71". Rfam says of the family: R71 is a member of the C/D box family of snoRNAs containing the C (UGAUGA) and D (CUGA) box motifs. Multiple nearly identical copies of this snoRNA have been identified in Arabidopsis, and it is thought to function as a 2'-O-ribose methylation guide for 18S ribosomal RNA. The record is from Rfam by way of RNAcentral. Lineage: Eukaryota; Viridiplantae; Streptophyta; Magnoliopsida; Malvales; Malvaceae. RNAcentral also lists the same sequence under 2 other names.